RNAcentral lists this long non-coding RNA (276 nucleotides) under Lathyrus oleraceus (garden pea). RNAcentral's name for it is "Pisum sativum (pea) long non-coding RNA (PSAT_LNC034090)". The record is from RNAcentral. Lineage: Eukaryota; Viridiplantae; Streptophyta; Magnoliopsida; Fabales; Fabaceae.
GAGAGUGCAUAAUGAGUGAGCUUUUUAAUUUCUCUUUUUUUUUGUUUUUGGGGUUUGAGUCUGUGAGAGAGUUUUGUGUGUGUGAGGUUGUUAUGAAUUGUGGAAUGCAUUUAAUGGGGAGUCAGUGAGGGAAGAGAGAGACGAAUCUUUUUUUUUUGUUUUUUUUUUGUUUUUUAGUGAGUAGCCAACUGUUCUUACCGUUGGAGGUAAGUGAGUAGGGUUCCAACUGUCAAAUAUUAAUGUUAAUCUUAUUUUAUUUUAUGUGAAAACAAUUAC